CUAUCUGCGCUCUUUUGAUCCUCGCCCUGGCAUCCGUCCAAGGUGAUCCCAAGCUCAGAUAUCCCGGAGUUAAAAGUAAUAAAGGACCUAUUCAAUAAAAUAAAGUGCAUUAUUCAGAUUCAGUAAAAAUCAGUCGAAAUGAGAUUCUUUGCGGUCUGCUCUUUUUUACUCCUGACAGUGGUCGUCGGAAUGGCGAAUCCAAAGCCUUUAACCCCGAAGACGAUAAAAGUUGUCCAGUGAACUGGCUGUUUAAAUUAUAGCUUAUAGUCUUAGAAGUUGAAUUUACUUAAUGCCAAUUAGCACCGACAACAACGUUUGUUAACCUGUUUUGAUUAAUAUGCAUUGUCAUCAACAUUCUGCUUAAUAUAAUAAUUGAGCCAGUUGUGUUAAAAUAAUUUCGAAAUGGGAAACAGAAAUUACGAAUACUGGCCUUAGUAUGAAGUUUCAGUCUUAAGAAUAAGGUUAGAGUGUAUAAAAUAAUAACGAAUCCCUUUCAAUUUCUGGUGCAACAUGUGAAAGUUUUAAUCAUUUAAUGUUGCCUAAUAAGAGCAAUUAGCAACUUUGAAAUCUCAACAUCGCAUGUCAGCGCAAUUGUGGUCAUUACGAUAAUUUAACGAGUGCCCAGCCGUGAUUUUUAAUGAUAUUCAUGAGUUUUAUAUUGGCGUAGUCUUCAGCAAGAUAAAGGCGCGUAACAAAAAAGAGGGAAAAUAAUAUAAUAAAAUAAAAGCACCACCCCAGGUGGGUGGGUCUUCAAUGGAGAAGGGGGAUUUGGGGCGUGGACUUGGCGGUGUGGUCACGCGCUUUCAUGCCCGCCAAGAAUGUGGGGCAGCUCGGCUUUGUGGUACGAGUAUUGCCUGUGGUGUUGUAUGAAAUGCGCUCGGAAUUUGCCAGCAGCAGAACUGAACAAAAAAUAAGAAAAAUAUAUAUGUAUGUAUAUCGGACAGACCUUGUUGUCCACUCCUCCUAACUCCAUCCACCUCCUUCCUCCUGGCAGAUCCCUGCCUCGUCCUGCGCCUGUGAUAAUCGCCCCGCUGGCUGCCUGACAGGCAAACAAUGCUGUGAAUUUGAUUAAAAUCAGCCAGCGUGUGCGUCUCCACUUGGCCGCUCCUCGAGCUCCUCCAGUUCUUUUCGUCCGGCUCGGACUUGUGUCGUUAUUGGAGCACUAGCAGCCACAUGUAGCAGUAUUAAGACCGACCCAUGACCAUCUCGUUUGUUGCCCCACCUGGCUGCAGGCGGUGCUGCGGUGGUUUCACUAAUUGCGAAUCGCCAAAUUUGGCCUGGGAAAGUCGCCCCUCACCCUGGAUAUAUGGAUACUUUCUAAUAGCUCAGACUGAAUUUGGAUUGCAAUGCAUAACCAUCAUUAGUGGGCUGGGAAGAUGGGGCAGUCUGGGGGCAGGAAAAUGCAUUUCUUUAUGCGCUGCUGUGGCUGCUAAUGAGCUACAGCAGCCUGGGCGACAAUUGGGCCGCUUUUCCUGCACUUUUUCAUUGAGAAAAACAGCAGGCUAGAAGGAAGUUAAAUAUUUAACAUUAAUUUCAAAAAUCAUUAAAAUUGUAAAUGAAGCGCGCUUGAGUCUAAAACGAGUGAAGAAAAGUUUCACUUCGUUUGGUUAUAAAGUAGUUUAAGGAAUUUUAUAUUCUGUUUUGGCUGUGUGCAGUGCCAGUUUUUUUUUUUCUCUGGCAUCUUGUGCAUUUCAAAUGAGGCUAAAAGCUAAUUAGAUGCCAGGAAUCAGGCCCACACCCCGCAGCGAAAUCCAUCGUCCUUUCCUUCAGUUUCGUUGGUGCGCUAAAUUUUUCCCCUGGACUGCACACAGGAGGCUCUUCAGAUGAAUGGUCGGGUGGUGGGGUUUCCUUCUGGACAGAGCCAAGAGUCUCCACCAGGAUCAUCCACACGGCGAAGCGAAACGGAUGUUCUCGCGCAGCGUUGGCUCCGGUCCUGAUUUCCCACCCACCCAGUUCAUCCGCUUUCCCACACCCACCCAGUCAGGUCAUUGUGAAUCUCGCUUUUUCCUGCCAGGAUGGGUGUGUGUAAAUGUAUGUGUGUGUGUGAGCGAGAUGGCGAGGGGGCAGCAAAAUGUUAAUAAAUCUUAUUUUUAUCAUUUGGCUAUAAAUACUGAAUUUUUAGCUCCGGCCAUGCUCAAUUUAUGGCCAUUAUUUAUGUCGGAAAAGCGAAAACCUCAAACAUGUUGCCACACUUUUUGCCCCCUGCCUCCACCGCCGCUUCAGGAUCCUUUUUGGCCUGCAUUGUGCAUCCAUUUUAUUUGCCGUUUUGGCCAAGAGAAAGAAAUAUACACAAGCCAUAUUAUUGCAAUUUUCCAGUUGCUCCGCCCACGCCGCAGUUUCAAGGAAGCGCAGGCGAGCGAAAGGCAAGAAACCAAACCAAACCGAAUGAAAUAUGAAAAAUUGCAUUACACCUUAAUAAACACCUCACCUGGCGAGCAACUCGGCAGAGUGGGAGUGGGCUUGGAGCUGCUCGAGCUGCAUCUGACGGCCUGGUAUGGGGCUAUAUACAUAUCUCCCCAAUCGCGAGCGUAGCUCCAGCUUUUGCAGCUGUGUGCGCUCCAAAGUUUGGCCAUAAUGAAGAUUGUCUGCGGCUUAAGUGGACGCACGUUGCUCAGCCGCUGGAUAGCUGGGCACUACACAGAUGGAUGGCAAGACAGGCACAGUUGAUGGACACUAAGAAAAAUUGCCAAUUCGUGAUUUAAACAGAUAAAAAUCAUGAAAAUAUAAUAUAAUACAAUUUAUGGAAAUAUUUGAAGCAGUUAAAGCUUAGUAUUCUAUCUUCCAAGUUGCUGUGUGAAAAAAAAAACACUUAAAAGUUGGGUUUUAUAUUUUUUUCCAUGUGUAUUGAAUCUGUACUUCGAUGGCCAUGGGAAGCAGGUCCUUUCCCCAAUCGACGAAGGGAACCCCGAGGGGCAAGGCUGCGAUCGCGAUCACUUAGGCGCUCAUCUGGCAUAAAAUUGUUAGAAACGCCCCGUGUGUGUGCGCCCCUGGGUAAAUUGCCUCCUUCUCCAUGAUCCUCCUCGAUUUCUGGCCAUAACGUUUUUGCCAUUAAAUUAAUAAAUUAAUGCGAUCGUGCAACAGUCGAUCAUGUGGCGGCCAGUUGCCAGUUGCCAGUUGCCAGUUAACAUUUCCCCCGCCGCCUGCCUGUCCAUUCUUCGAUAUCCAUUUGGCUUGUCAGAAUUUCCAAAAUCUCAAUACAACAGCUCAUUCGUCGGUAAUCACAAAUUUCUGAGCUCUUCUCCUAAGCCAACAGUGUUUCCAAAAGCCUUAAAAUGUAUAGAAAUUGAAAAGACUUAUAAUGAAAUAAUUUAAAAAAAAAUGUUAAAGUGUUAUAUGAUUUAAUGGAGUUCCAAAAAACAUACAACCCAGACAUAUUUGGAGCUUAUGUAUACAUAUAUUUUAAAGAUUUCUUAGACUUAUAAAAAGUUUUUUUUUUUUUUUCAAAAGUAGCAUACCACUGUGCUGGCAAAUGUUCCUGUGCCUCGAGUUUGAUUCUCCAAACUGGCGUUGCACACUGCACCCUCGGAUUCUGUGGUCGUGAUCGAAAAAGUGGGUGUUGCUAAGUGUUUUUUGGGGGCCUGAAUGUUGGAUGCUGGAUACUUGAUGCUGGAUGCUGGAUGGUGGAUGCAGCAGACGCAAUGGCUGGAGAACCAGUCUGCCAUUUUACAGCGCGGCAUCAUUAACAACUGCAACUGCAACGUGGCGGGGCGUGGUGGGGAAAUAAUUGCAUGGACGGAACUCGAGGCCGUUCCCUGGUUGCAAGUUGCAAGUUGCUGGUUGCCAGUUGCUCCAUCGCGGAUCGCUGUGUUGCUCUGUUAAUUUUACAGCCAUGUCUGAUAUUGCUAAAUGGCUGUGAGUGGAUUCGUUUAAGCACCAAUUUUAUUACCAACAAGCAUCACGUUGCAUCUCUCUCUCCGCUUUUGGCGCAGUUUCGGUCCAAUGGGGCAUGCCUCUCGGUUGGGGCUCCUUCGCUGGCUUAAACCGACUCCUUCCGUGGCCGCUGCAAGUGAAGAGAUCCAAUCAGGUUGCGCCUUUUUGCUUCAGUUGCUGGCUGGAGCAAAAACCGAAAGCAACAGAAAUAAGUAAGGAACAACCUCCACUUGUGGCCACUAUGAGCUGGCAGUUGUUAUUGCAGUUGUUAUGGUUUUGGUUCGCUGUUUUUUCCGCUGCAUAUUUUGCAUUUGGUUGGAGACUGGGCGAAAAAAAAAAACCAACAAAAUAAGCUCCAACCAGAGAGGAAGAAACAAAUACGCCCCUGCAGCUGCCAUUAAUCGUUAAUCACUGUGGCAUUGCACUCAAAUUAUAUAUUUAUUAUAAGCGAAACAAAUUUCUCAUUUUGAAUGCUACUUAAGGGACUUCAGUGAUUGCAUGUGAUAAGAAACAUCUAAUUUUUUUGACUAAAACGUUAUUAAGAAUUAAAUCUGAAAUAAAAUUGAUAUGAGUGCUAAGAUGAAUAUCUUAAACACUUUGUUUGAUUUGAUGUUUCGAAUGAACAAGUAACUAGGUUCUUUAAUUUAUUCAGAAUUAGUAUGUCACCUGAUAAGCGUUACUUACAAUCAGUAUGGGUCAAGUGUUGUAUAAACUAUAGCUGAUGCUACAACUGAGAUAUGUCAGCAGCUGGACUUAAUAUUGUAGAUAGAUCUUGAGUGUCUUGAGUGUUCGGCAGGUAUUUGUCGCGUCUUGUCAAUCGUCGGCUCACAUUACACUUGAUUGCUGAUUGGCUUUCGUUUGCGGGUUCAGCUGAAUUCCCCGUUUGAUCCCCUUUAUGGGUUAACUAACUUACUCGUUGGAGAAACAAAUUACGGCUCAUUGUGCGCCAGGGAUCAGAGAUCAGGUUACGUUGGGAAACGGGGAUUCCUCCGGCCAGGACAAUGGACCACCCGGCUGGGCUUUGUUUCUGCUGCCUGGGCUUUGGAUAUAUAUUUUUUAAAGCCAGUCACGUGCCAUCGACGACGACACUUUUGACAUAUCCGGCGGACCACACGCGCCGCUGCCAACCCUGUACCAUAUAUACUCUGGCUAAGUGGAGACCCCAUCCUCUCCAGAUCCUGCGGGCAAGUGUCAGGCUAAAAAUUAGCGCAUCACGUGCGCCUUCGGGGCCGCAAAUGUCCUUCGAGCUGCCAGCGUUAUCCUUAUCGGCAGCGCUAUCGAUUUCGUUUAAUAUGUUAAUCUGUGCCAAGGCGAGUGGUGGUGUCCCCACCCCAUGUCCUAACCUUGGACCUCCCGCUCCUGCAUCGCAAGCCACUGCAUUGUUAUCUGCUAGCCUGUUCAUUAGCAGAGGGUAUCAUUAAAAAGUAGAGAAGAAAAUCUCAGCAUUUUCGGAGUAUUUUUCCAAUGCAGCUAUCGGAGGCUUCUUUGCGUUUUUAUUGAGCAGGCAUAAAAAUUAUUUGUCCUGAUCCGAUUGGAGUCCAUCCACUUAAUGGCCAACGAAACGAGCAGCCGGAGAGCAUCGAAUAAAAAUCAACGGUAAAGGCUUUAAACGGCCAUAAGAACUGCGUCCACUUAUCGCUGGACGAGAUGGAGACGGUUUAUCUGUGGAGCAGGAGCUAAUUACUCCCCUGGAUUGGCCUUUCUCCGCCACAUUUCUCCGCAUCUCUAUCGGUUUUAUGCCCGCGUUAAUUACCUGCCCGGAGAUUUCUCACCGCUUACACUUUAUUUUUAUGGCAUUUCCCGGUAAGAGCCGCGUGAAAAGUUCUCCGCACUCGAUCGAAAUGACUGUGUAACCUUUGACCUUUUUUUAAUGCUCUCCAUUCUCACAGUAGGUGAUUCACGAUGCCCAUGUCCUCGCCAAAGGCUUGGGAAUUCCUCCAAGGAUUAGGGGUGGAAAUCCUGAAAGUUUAUCCGGCGAGGGGAAAUUAUGAUGCCAGUUGAAAUCUUAUAGAGAUUUAUGAUCUUUUAAUGCUUGCGGUGAGUACAUAGUUGUUGGACAAAUCCCCCCGGUUCAAUAAAGUCGACUGUAUUUUUCUAAAAAUAAACAGAUAGAAAUGCUAAUAGUUAAUUUAGUACGAUAUAUAUUUAUAUUUCUUAUUAAAAUCUUAUAAUAUUUGGCAUAUUUUCCAUGCCUCGUUUUUUUGCCCUUAUUUUUUACACUGUUCCAGUCAUUCAUCUAUGAAUUGAUUGCUCAUUUAUAAGGCGUCUCCCCUCCAAGCGAUGGGCUGUCAAGGGAAAUGCAGGAAAACUGCUCGGAUGGGCAUAUUGUGGCAGUCAGUUAGGCAAUUUCCCAUACGCACACGCCCGUCACAACGGCCACACCCAGGAGCAGCAGAAGUAGCAUCACCAUCAACUCCACCACCACCACCGCCACCACCCAGUAGUGUCCUUCGGGCUGCAGUUGCCACCACCCAAAUCCAGUUACAAUUGCAGCAUCCAAGGAGCUGCGGCCGAGGCUAACUGAGGGCUAAGCGGAUAUUCAUUACACGAACCGCACGCCGGCACGCGUUACCGCUUUGGACGCUUUAGCACCCUCUUGUCCUUGCCGCGAGUCCUUGCUCCCAGGUCCUUGGACGAGCUUACACUUUACAUAUGUCACGGAUAUCCCCGUGGGAGGGUUUUGCGCCGUUUGACUUUUGAGCGGAGUCAGGCCGCUGAUCCUGUUUGCUGUAAAUAAUGCGAUUAACGGCAUCACGCAGGCCAGCUCUUGAUCCUGAUUUCGUUGUGUUUGGCGGCGGGGGUGCGUUGGGCCAGCUCCUUGUUAAUGAGCCACCGAAGGAACUGCGCUCCAGCGAGAGUUUCCCGGAUUAGUGCUACAAAUUCGCGCCUAAGCAUGGUGUGAAAUAUGAAAACGUACACUGUGAGAAAUUAUAUCUCUAAUCCAUCGAUUAAUGACUAUUAAAUAAAACAACAAAUAACAAUAAGCUUCGUAUUCAUAUUCUAACAACGAAGCCACACAAUCAAAUUUCG
Drosophila melanogaster (fruit fly) is the source of this 6900-nucleotide non-coding RNA. The record is from Ensembl. NCBI's taxonomy places the organism in Eukaryota, Metazoa, Arthropoda, Insecta, Diptera, Drosophilidae.